CGCUAUCACUCCUACGGGAGGCAGCAGUGAGGAAUAUUGGACAAUGGGCGAGGGCCUGAUCCAGCCAUGCCGCGUGCAGGAAGAAUGCCCUAUGGGUAGUAACUGCUUUUAUACGGGAAGAAAUAGGGCACGCGUGCCCCAUUGACGGUACCGUAAGAAUAAGGACCGGCUAACUCCGUGCCAGCAGCCGCGGUAAUACGGAGGGUCCGAGCGUUAUCCGGAAUCAUUGGGUUUAAAGGGGUCCGUAGGCGGGCCGUUAAGUCAGGGGUGAAAGUCUGCGGCUCAACCGUAGAAAUGCCUUUGAUACUGGCGGUCUUGAGUUAUGGCGAAGUGGGCGGAAUAUGUAGUGUAGCGGUGAAAUGCAUAGAUAUUACAUAGAACACCGAUUGCGAAGGCAGCCCACUAGCCAUGGACUGACGCUGAUGGACGAAAGCGUGGGGAGCAAACAGGAUUAGAUACCCUGGUAG
This 467-nucleotide ribosomal RNA is filed under the name uncultured bacterium. Its description in RNAcentral is "bacterial SSU rRNA". It matches the Rfam family "Bacterial small subunit ribosomal RNA", at positions 328 to 793 of the family's 1533-position model. The record is from RNAcentral.